GGACUACUGGGGUAUCUAAUCCCGUUUGCUCCCCUGGCUUUCGCGCCUCAGCGUCAGAAGAGAUCCAGUCCGUCGCUUUCGCCACCGGCGUUCCUUCGGAUAUCAACGCAUUUCACCGCUCCACCCGAAGUUCCACAGACCCCUACCUCCCUCGAGACCACCAGUAUCCAAGGCACUUCCCCAGUUGAGCUGGGGGCUUUCACCCCGGACUUGAUGGCCCGCCUACGCGCCCUUUAAGCCCAGUGAUUCCGAACAACGUUCGCACGGUUCGUCUUACCGCGGCUGCUGGCAC
RNAcentral lists this ribosomal RNA (292 nucleotides) under uncultured Planctomycetota bacterium. RNAcentral describes it as "uncultured planctomycete partial 16S ribosomal RNA". The record is from RNAcentral. Lineage: Bacteria; Pseudomonadati; Planctomycetota.